GACGAACGCUGGCGGCGUGCUUAACACAUGCAAGUCGAACGGUGAAGGGGCCUGCUUUUGUGGGCCCUGGAUGAGUGGCGAACGGGUGAGUAACACGUGAGUAACCUGCCCCCUUCUUCUGGAUAACCGCAUGAAAGUGUGGCUAAUACGGGAUAUUCUGGGUCUGUCGCAUGAUGGGUCUGGGAAAGAUUGCGCCUUUGGGUGUUUUUGGUGGGGGAUGGGCUCGCGGCCUAUCAGCUUGUUGGUGGGGUGAUGGCCUACCAAGGCGGUGACGGGUAGCCGGCCUGAGAGGGUGGACGGUCACACUGGGACUGAGACACGGCCCAGACUCCUACGGGAGGCAGCAGUGGGGAAUAUUGCACGAUGGGCGCAAGCCUGAUGCAGCGACGCCGCGUGAGGGAUGGAGGCCUUCGGGUUGUAAACCUCUUUCGCCAGUGAAGCAGGCCUGCUCCUUGUGGGUGGGUUGACGGUAGCUGGAUAAGAAGCGCCGGCUAACUACGUG
This 502-nucleotide ribosomal RNA is filed under the name uncultured bacterium. Its description in RNAcentral is "partial 16S ribosomal RNA". It matches the Rfam family "Bacterial small subunit ribosomal RNA", at positions 28 to 507 of the family's 1533-position model. The record is from RNAcentral.